GACUUUGAUAUGCUCUCUGUGCCUGGAUUGGACCAUCACCAAGACCAGCAAUGACUCCCUCUUAAAGGCAAACAAACAAUGUCAUGCUACCAAUGUUUUGAGUUCAAAACUCAGGCAGUCUACCUUCCCUGUCUGGAGCCUCCUUCAACUCUCUUGAAUAGGACUUUGGCAGAAGAUCAGAACAGCUGAGUCAUCUUCAAGGAGGAGUUUUAUCACCACAUACACUCUAAGCCUUCCUCCAGUGGAAAAAUACCCAGUGCUUUCUGCAGCAGUCCUGAGUGCAGGGGUGGGAGAGCGGGGGCUUGAGUGAUGGUGGUGGCUUCCUUCUUGUCCCCAAGCCCCAAAUAAAUAAGUCCCUUUCCCUUUGCUAUACCUGAAGUGAAGGGGAGCCAGGUCUGCGGUGGCUUGGCUCCAGGCUACAGGGCACCAACACAGGAGCCUCCAAAUUUGUCUCAGUCUUGCCUGAGAAGCAUCAUUCACCAGCCAGGCUUCCUAUCCAGUCCUCUCCUGGCCCCUGCAGAGAAAUGGGAGCUCUGGGAAGAACAUGCUCUGCUAAGAAUAUAAGCCCUUGUAGGUCAUGAAGAAGAUGUGAGUGAGGUUCUCAUCUCCCUCAUGAAGACUCGAAGCCCCAGUGCUCAGGCCCUCAUCUUCAAAUUGAAAUCUCUUGCCUGGCCCUCUUGCCUGAAAUCCAGACUCCUAACAGCCGUCUCCUUGAAUCCUCCACUGGAUCGUCUAAAAGGCGUUUCAAACUUAACAAGACCACCACCUCCUAAUUCCUCGGCCCACCUCAUGGAAACCUUCCUCUCAUCAUGCUUAGCUUGUAAGUCUAUCCCAUUGGCAUCUCAAGAGGAACUGUGAACAGAGGCUCCUGGGUCCUCUGUGGAGACAUGUACCACAGGUCCUGUAGUGUGAGACUUAAAAUGAACAUAAUGCCCUUCCUUCAAAUCUGAUGAAAUAAGGAGAGUCUCUAAUGGCCUCACUUUGCUACAGGGAAAAGGUCCUCUUCAACUUCCGAAAGUGGAUUAAAUGGACCAAAUGCAGUUCCUGCUUCUCCUGAAUGGAGCAAGCCUGGCUCACAGAUGGGACAGACCAGAGUGCUGGGGAGAUAAUGCCUCCAGGAACAGACUGCAACCAGUAAAGGAUGGGAGUCAUUGAAUAAAUAUCCCAGGAAACUGGUUACACGGCUUCUUCGAUGCCCUGGAAGCACCGAGCUCUAAUUCCCCAGGGUGGUAACCUGUUUGUGAAAGCACCCUUUACUAGCUUCCAGCCAUCGUCUCACCCCUCAUCACCCACAGACCUAUUUAACUAUCUCUCCUUCCUGGUACCUCUGCAGUCACCUCUCGAGUUACUUAAUUCUAGUCCUU
Molecule: long non-coding RNA, 1364 nt
Organism: Bos taurus (domestic cattle)
Lineage: Eukaryota; Metazoa; Chordata; Mammalia; Artiodactyla; Bovidae
Source: Ensembl